Molecule: unclassified non-coding RNA, 271 nt
Filed under: Hevea brasiliensis (rubber tree)
Lineage: Eukaryota; Viridiplantae; Streptophyta; Magnoliopsida; Malpighiales; Euphorbiaceae
Source: RNAcentral
GGAAUACAACACGUUAUCAGAAUGAAAUCUUGCUACACUUGUUCACAGUCAGUUUCUGAAGACUCAAUAGCUCCUAAUCUCUCUCUCCGCGCUGCAGUGCAGGCAUUCCGCCGGGAAGAGGAGUUACAAUAUUAUCACUCAUUCAAAAGGAGGAGAGAGAGGUUUGAGCAGGACAAGGGUGUUACUGGUGAUUCACCUGCAAUGGAUACCCCAAGGGGACGAGGUGUGCAGUUCCCAUUUUCUGUGACAGACCGGGUUAUUAUAAAGGGAA